CAAAUCAAACAGACAACGAAAAAGAGAUCGGUGGUGGCUAGUAGGCCGGUGACGACGACCGCCGAGCACCGCCUGAACAGGCAGGGGAGCCAACUUCGGUGGAAGUCGUGACAGAGCCUAUUUGCAAUGUGUUUACACAGUGGGAAAUGCAGACGUAUUUUCUUGAAACCACUGAUCAUGACCAUUUAGCCCACGGGAUGAAAAUCCUGGACAGCAGCUGUGGGGGCCUUUCCAAAUCAUGUCCAAUCCAUUGAAUUUACCACAGGUGGACUCCAAUCAAGUUGUAGAAACAUCUUGAGGAUGAUCAAUGGAAACAUGAUGCACCUGAGCUCAAUUUUGAAUCUCAUAGCAAAGGAGUAAAGGCUGUAACGUAACAAAAUGUGGACAAAGUCAAGGGGUCUGAAUACUUUCCGAAGGCAGUGUACACACACACACA
Oncorhynchus tshawytscha (Chinook salmon) is the source of this 436-nucleotide long non-coding RNA. NCBI's taxonomy places the organism in Eukaryota, Metazoa, Chordata, Actinopteri, Salmoniformes, Salmonidae. The record is from Ensembl.